Molecule: ribosomal RNA, 388 nt
Filed under: uncultured soil bacterium
Lineage: Bacteria
Description: bacterial SSU rRNA
Rfam family: Bacterial small subunit ribosomal RNA
Source: RNAcentral
AGAUUGAACGCUGGCGGCAUGCCUUACACAUGCAAGUCGAACGGCAGCACGGGAGCAAUCCUGGUGGCGAGUGGCGAACGGGUGAGUAAUACAUCGGAACGUGCCCAAUCGUGGGGGAUAACGCAGCGAAAGCUGUGCUAAUACCGCAUAAGAUCUACGGAUGAAAGCAGGGGAUCGCAAGACCUUGCGCGAAUGGAGCGGCCGAUGGCAGAUUAGGUAGUUGGUGAGGUAAAGGCUCACCAAGCCUUCGAUCUGUAGCUGGUCUGAGAGGACGACCAGCCACACUGGGACUGAGACACGGGCCCAGACUCCGUACGGGAGGCAGCAGGUGGGGGAAUCGUUGCGCAAGUGGGACGAAAGCCUGACGCAGCAACGCCGCGUGCGGGAU